Molecule: long non-coding RNA, 5833 nt
Organism: Fukomys damarensis (Damara mole-rat)
Lineage: Eukaryota; Metazoa; Chordata; Mammalia; Rodentia; Bathyergidae
Exons: 4
Source: RefSeq, a predicted model, not a curated record
CAGCAGCCUGAGAGCUGUUUCCCCCUUUACUGAGGAGAUGGCUGAGCCCCAGAGGGGUGCGCUGAGCCAGGCGGCUCCUGGGGACAGAUGGGUCAUCCAGGUCUGAGGUGUUGGGCACAGUGGAGCUGGCAGCAGGGGCCCUGGCUCUUGGCUCAUUGUGCUCCAGCUUCUGCGGGCCUCAGCUGGACAAUGGGAGGACAGAGUGUGUGUGUGUUCGGGGAGCUGCUGUAGCGCCUGGCCUGCCAGUUCCCACAGGGAGGAAGCCACCCGAGCAUAUUUUGGGCUGACCAGAGGAGGCCCAACCUGCCAAACACUGGACCAGCCAGCGGGGCUUCCCUUGGUCCAUCCAGCCUCCUGGCUGCCAUGGAUCCUCCCAGAGCUGGGUGUACUGGCUGCCGUGAACCCUGGACCUGAACCCGAAACCUCCACAGUGGCCUCCGGAUCAUCGCUUCCCCAACUCUUAGCACUUCUGCAGCUGGGAGCGCCUGGUUCCGGGCUGGAGCCUCUUUCUUCCUUGGACACACGCUCUGCCUGCAGGGCCUGGCUGGAGGAUCCUUUAGGUCUCCACAGCCCAGAACUCAUGGAUUAGGAAGUGGGACACUGGCCCAGUAGCACAGAGCUGCACACAAAAGACCCAGUGCGUGAAGUGGGCACCUCUGGUACUGACGGAUCACCCCCCACUGGUCUUCAUACAGAUGAGAAAAGACGCCUCCUUGGUCUAAGAUAAGGAGUGCUCCCUCGUAUUGGGUUCGGUCCUGCUGACCCGCAGCCUCGUCUGUGGGGUGGGGAGGGGCGCAGCCCUGGCUCAAGGUUUGGUGAGGGAGCAGAGAGGUCGCCAGCAACCCUGCACUAAACACGGCACACAGCACAGCAGCUGUCUUCAGCACAGCUUCUCACCGGCCAGACACUUGGGGCAGUGCACCUGUCCAUGGCAGUCCUGGGUGUGAGUCCUGGCCAGCUUUGCCGAGUGUGCUUGGCAUGAGAAGUCAUCCUCUCUUGAUGUUACCAUAAAUUUUUUGCCGAGAAAGGUGCCGCAGUGCUUUUUUACUGAGCUCUAUUCCAUACCCUAGGUGAACAUAACCUAGAGUGACCUGUGGUAUGCGUCUAAGGGACCAUUUGUACCUGAGGAAAGGGCACAGUGAGCCACCCGUUCAAAGGGACUUAUCCCGGCUGUGCUGAGCACCUGCUGUAUGCCCAGUGCUCUGCCUGCACAGUCCCAUCUGACCCUCACAGUGGGCCUGGGAGUCGGGCGCUGUUACUGUCCCGGCUUUACAGUUGAGGCAGCUGAGGCUCAGGUGGCAGGGACUUGGAACACACACAGGGAUGGGACUUUUGGUCUCAACUGUUGUGCUAAAGACCUGCAGUUGUCAGUCUUUAAAACACAGCCUUUGGUGGAGGUGGGCAGGCCAGGGGAGGGUGGGACAGGGACUCCCUGCUUGUCCCCCCUCCAAGCUGGCACUGCGGCUCUCAGAACCUGGAGCUCUUACGGGGCACAAGCUCCGGGCCACUUCAGGGCUGGUGACUGAGCGGCGUCAGGAGGAGCAGAGGACAGUACUGAUUUUCCCACCUCUGGCAUCUCCCUGUGGCCCAGACUCCCGCAGCUGGAGCCUUUUCCUUCCAGAAGGGUAUGCUUGCCAGGUUUCUGCAGACACCCAGAGCCCUCCUUUCCCACGCCACUUGCCGGAGUUUCCACCGUGCUAGCUCCAUCUGCCUGACCCCUUGAGCCCCGUGGCAGUGGGGGUGAGGGAAGGCUGCAUCGCUCCCACCACCACCCUGGCUGGGGCCUUAACUCAGCUCCCACAGGAUGAGCCCUGGACGGUCAGAAACCUCAGAACAGCCAGAGCGAUGCAGCCCAGGGCAGAGGGACUCUCGUCGCUAUACUCGGCACAAUCGCUUGUACGCUCGCCCUUGGCCCAGGCCGAUUCCCAGGUUUCCCCCUGGGGACGGAGCUUCGCGGGUGUGGACCAGGUGACCACCACACUCUUCCCAGGAUGUCUUCACAGGCACCGAAGAGGGGGAAGCAAGUCCCACAGGUUACGCAGUGGAUUUGUUGGCUGUGCGGUGAGAGUAAUAAUUCUGGAGUUUGUCAUUAAGGAGGAAAGCAAAGGAAUAAUUAUCUCUACUGGGUACCAGGUUUCUCGCAGGGGAAAAGUCCAUCUACGGGGAAGGGGAAAGGCGUUCGAGGCAUCAGUACGCCCUUGGGAAGAUGCAUCUCCAGUCACCGUCGGUAUCGGUGGUGAUCGGUGCUGGGGCCAGGGCCUGCGUGGGUGCCCAGAUCUCAGGGUGUGCGUGUGUGUCCCUGACGGCACGGCACACAGCACGCCUCACUUACAGCCUCACAGGAAUUUCACGUCCCCUCUAGAUGAGCCGCGGUACCUGCCGCAGUGUAAAUGCUGUGGAAGUAGUGGUCACGCCACAUUGUGGAGGGAACUGUGACAAGAAAAAGAGUCUGAGCGUGUUUAGGGCAGAUGCAAAUCUUCCCUGGUACUUUCCACCCCUCCUUAGUUGGAGCUGUGGUUACGGAGUGAGGCGGACAACGAAGGAACUGUGCGUAGGAUGUUGGGCUGACGAGUCAUAGGCAUGGCAAGGGCCUGUUCCCCAUGAGAAGGAACCAGGGCUCCCGGACAAGCAGAGGACGCCCGGAGUGAGCAGUGGGCAGGAGCCAGGUGUCGCUUCCAUAUAGCAGGACACCUUCAAGGACAGGUGGGUCAGAAAGCCCCGGUCACGGGCUGGAAGGGACUGCUGGGGGCAGAGAGGUACAGGUGAAUGAGUGUCCAGAGAGAAAUGAGUGACACGGAGUACUGGAAGGAAGGGAGAAGAUGAGUGUUAAUUAAUAAGUGUAGAUGGGUUGAAAGACUUAGAAAAUCAGCCAUAGCAGACCACGUACGAGGGUGGGCUCCAGGUAGGUUGCUGUGAGAAGCCACAGCGCCACCUGUGGAUCUGUUGGGUGGAGCAGGCAGCUGCCUGGACUCCACGGAGACUUUGCUGCCCUGAAAGACCCCAGAGGCCGAAGGAACCUUCCGUGAAGCACAGCUCAGGAGCCAGGACGGCUCACGGCGCGCAGGAUGCUUUUCUGGGAUGGGGGUGCGAAAGCCAAGGACACUGCCGUGGACACUGCGGGGACACUUGCGUGUGGCCGGUGUGCCAGGAUGUCAGUGGGAAUCGCAGCAAUAAAACACACUCGCAGCGGCUGUUGAGCUAAUCGAGAUGUCAGGACGAUCCUUGGCCUGCCUUUCUGGCCUCUGCAAUUUCUCUGCUCCCUUCUGCAAAACACCAAACCACCUCCCCGGCCUGCACCCUGCGCGGGCUGAGCACCAGGACCGGAGGCUCUUUGUCGUUUGUGUGUAGCGAAUGUGCACAGCGAUAUCGCUUUGCCUCAUGAAUAUUUUAAUAUCAGAGCAGCUGAUCCCAGGAAGUGCUGAUUCGCUGUUGUGCGGGGCUGGUGCCUCUCAGGAGGCUGCACUCGUCAGCUUGGUGCCAGCCUGGCCAGGCCGCAGAGGAGUCCUGGGCCCUGGGCUGCUGACGGGGCUUCUGCACAUGUGCCACUCCUCCCGAGUGGGACUCAAGGACGCAGAGGGGAGCUGACCUGCCCUCAGCCCACUGGUGCCCCUCAGGAAGGUGGAGCUCAACUCGGAAUCUAAGCACGGGCUGCUUGUGGGGAGGGUGUCGCCAGUGGAUCCCUGGCUGAGCCCCUCUGGAGGCUGGCGCAGGGUCCUCGGACCCCAGGCACUAGGGCCUGCACACUCACCCGGGUAAUUAAUUAGCGGACCCCCCACGUGCAGCCGUGGCUGCUGCUCUUUUCUCUGUUGCGUUUAUCAGGCUCACAGUAGCAGGCCUUCUGCCAGGUACCAGGAGCGUAGUUAGCUCUUUUCUGAUAUAUGGGCUGUGCCUGCCGCAUGCCGGGCCAAGGCUGUACCAAGUAUUGGAUCACAGUGAGUGGAGGAAGCUCUGCAGCCCGCUCCCAGCCCAGGCGCAAUCGCAAGACAAGUAAUGAAUUGGGAUUAGACGGGGGAGAGACCGUGUGGCUGAGCUCAGCAGGAUCCAGCACUUGUCAGAUGAGCACAUCCUCUACGUCGGAGCCGAACAGGCAGGCCUUAAUGUUUAACCAGCAGCCAAGUCGACUGGAGGCUCACAGCCCCAUGAGACGGGUGUCACAGCACUGCCAGACAGAUACGCAUGAGGCCCGGAGAGAUUUGGUGACUGGCUCAAAGCCACAGAGCUUCUAAUCCAGGCGCAGGCCUGUCUCAUUCCAAAGUCCCAGCUGGUUUUCUGAGAGCAGCGUUCAGUAAACCAGAGCUGGCUGCAGGCCAAAUCCAGCUCCCUCCUGUCCGUGUAAAUAAAGUUUUAUUGGCAUGCACGUCCCCAUGGGUCCACCUGCUUCCCGAGGCUGCCUUCCUCCUGCAGUGGCAGAGCUGAGAGGUUGCAGCGGGGUCUGGGUGGCCCGUGAGCGUGGACACCUGGCUCCGUAGUCAGCAUUCGCAGCCUGCUGUAGAGCACGCUGGAUCACAGCCACUCCCUGCGUGUCACUGUUCAGUGCUAUCCCAUAAAAUUCACACGCUGCGGCCCCGACUCCUCGGACCUUGGAGUGUGACCUUGCGUAGCAGUAGAGUCAUCGCUGUUGUCAUUAAGCACGAGGAGGAUCGGCCCGGGUUUCCUCCCUCAGAGAAGGGGGUGAGAAGUUCUGGACCUCAGCACUGGACCACCAUCCUCACAGAUGGAGUAUGUGGGCACAGACGCAACCCCAGGGGGUGCCAGGUAAAGGCAGGGGCCGGGCUGGUGCACCUGCAUGCUCAGGAGCACCACAGGUCUCCAGCAAAGCUCCAGCACGGAGGCCUGAGGCCGACUCUGUCUGCAGCAGGAGCCAAUCCUGCCGGCACCUUGACCUUAAUUUACAGCUUCCAGAAGGGUGAGCAGCGUCUCACUGCCUUCAUUCUCCCCCAGGGUGCUUUGCAGCAGCAGCCCCCAGCCAGUAGCCUCAGCCACUUCCUUAGACCGGGGCGGCGUAGGCGCCGCAGGUCUCACCCUGGACAGCUGGAGUGGCCUCACCCCUGGAGCCGCCUGGCCUGUCGUCUCUGAGGACCUUGGAUCCCGGGUCUCCACGGCCACGCGUAUGCAGCAGAUCUGUGCACAGGCUGGAGGGGCUGGUUCCAGGCUGACGCUAGGGCCAGCUGUGCCCUGGGCCCAAGUGUCGUGGCCUCAUCUCUUCCAAAACUCACGGAUGCCACGGGGAGGCAGGUGACCCAGGUCCCCCUGACUAAAGUGUGUUCGCGAGUAAAGCACAGCCACUUCCUUCGCUUCAGUGUGGCUUUUCCAUCAGUCUUGCUCCUGGCACCGGGCCGGGCUGUGCCCCGCGUGACAGUGAAUGCCUCGUGGGCAGCACAACACAUGACUCGUCCGUGCCGUGCCCCCGGCCAAGUGCCCAGCUCACAGAAGGCUCCGAACCACACACACCUCUGCCAGUGGGUGUUUGGGGAGCAUCUGCCUGAGUGUCCUCCCUCGGAGAAGGGAGUAAGGAGGUCCUAAAGCAGGUUGCUGCAAUGCAGGGUCCUUGGCCUGCGGAAAUUGGGUCUUACUCCCAUGGUGGAGUUACAGACCUCUGAUGGCCAGGGAGUAUUGAGAGCUGGAAACAGCAGCCCCAGUGUCACCUGAUGUGGGGCGGAGUCUGGGUUUAAAGAGCCACCUCCAGAGACCCCAAAUCCAGCAGCCCCCCUGCCAUCUGAUGCUGUCACUGCAGGGCAGUGCCCAGGUGCCUUUCUGUGCACCCAGGACAGCUUUCAGUGUGACCACGUGCCAGCCACCUGCUAGACAGAGCCACACAGGGCUCUCAGCCUGA